UAUUUCGUGCCAACCUCACCCUAAGUCAC
This 29-nucleotide non-coding RNA is filed under the name Mus musculus (house mouse). The record is from RNAcentral. Lineage: Eukaryota; Metazoa; Chordata; Mammalia; Rodentia; Muridae.